Molecule: ribosomal RNA, 503 nt
Filed under: uncultured bacterium
Lineage: Bacteria
Description: partial 16S ribosomal RNA
Rfam family: Bacterial small subunit ribosomal RNA
Source: RNAcentral
AUUGAACGCUGGCGGCAGGCUUAACACAUGCAAGUCGAGCGGGGUGAUGGUGCUUGCACUAUCACUUAGCGGCGGACGGGUGAGUAAUGCUUAGGAAUCUGCCUAUUAGUGGGGGACAACAUCUCGAAAGGGAUGCUAAUACCGCAUACGUCCUACGGGAGAAAGCAGGGGAUCACUUGUGACCUUGCGCUAAUAGAUGAGCCUAAGUCGGAUUAGCUAGUUGGUGGGGUAAAGGCCUACCAAGGCGACGAUCUGUAGCGGGUCUGAGAGGAGGAUACGCACCACGGGGACUGGACCACGGGCCAGACUCCUACGGGAGGCAGCAGUGGGGAUUAUUGGACAAUGGGGGGAACCCUGAUCCAGCCAUGCGGCGUGUGUGAAGAAGGCCUUAUGGUUGUAAAGCACUUUAAGCGAGGAGGAGGCUCUUUUGGUUAAGACCCAAGAUGAGUGGACGUUACUCGCAGAAUAAGCACCGGCUAACUCUGUGCCAGCAGCCGCCGUAA